AUACGGAGGAUGCGAGCGUUAUCCGGAUUUAUUGGGUUUAAAGGGUGCGUAGGCGGACGAUUAAGUCAGCUGUGAAAUGCCCGCGCUUAACGCGGGAAGUGCAGUUGAUACUGGUUGUCUGGAGUGCCGUUGCCGUGGGGGGAAUGUGUAGUGUAGCGGUGAAAUGCAUAGAUAUUACACAGAACGCCGAUUGUGAAGACACCUCACGAAGCGGUAACUGACGCUGAGGCACGAAAGCGUGGGGAUCGAACAGGAUUAGAUACCCUGGUAGUCCACGCAGUAAACGAUGAUCACUCGUUGUUGGGGGGCGACUCUCAGCGGCCAAGCGAAAGCGAUAAGUGAUCCACCUGGGGAGUACGAUCGCAAGGUUGAAACUCAAAUGAAUUGACGGGG
This 393-nucleotide ribosomal RNA is filed under the name uncultured bacterium. RNAcentral's name for it is "partial 16S ribosomal RNA". It matches the Rfam family "Bacterial small subunit ribosomal RNA", at positions 523 to 918 of the family's 1533-position model. The record is from RNAcentral.